UUUAUUUUCCCAAGUAUUGUUCUUUAUUAACUGGAACACAGAACAUUACUCAGUGACAUGUCAACUCCUGCAAUUUACUAUGUAGGAUAUGUUGUCUACAUCCACUUAGCUAAUUAAGACAGUCACAGCAGUGUAGAUUUCAGGGCAGAUCAAACAGUACUGUGUUGAUAUGGGAAACAGAGGAAGACUAGUCUCCACCAACUCUGUUAUAUCAUAAUCCCUGUUCCUUCAGUCUGAUUAAAACAUUUCAACAAGAGCCUGGGCUGCCUACCGUGGUAGCGCCGUAGAGAGGCUUGGUGUAGAAAUAUCACAGCUCCCUCAUUAGUGAGAGGGGAUUUCAUUUGGAAUAUCUCACCGAGCACUUUGAGAGAAGCGGCUGUAUUUACAUUUAAAAGAUCCAAAGUGGCCGUCUGAAGCUAGCUACCUCUUUCCUUAAUUGCUGGCUUCAGUUGUCCAUGAAUACAUCCACUUUAUUACUGGCUCUCAUUACUGGACGGCACCGAGGAAAGUCUCUUUCUCCUCUGUCUCCAUCUCCAUUUCUCCCCCCUCUCUCCCUCUCUCUCUGUCUUCCUCUCCAGCAGGGCAGGUCCACAUCAGAGUUCUCCCAGUGGCCAAAAGACACAAACAAUCGAGAGGGAUUAGACUGUAAUCCUGUUUUUACUUUCAUCUGCCACAUAUUCAAAGGAGAAGCUCUGUGAAGCAUGGAAUUCUUGAAGGAUGUGCUCCAUGGAAAAAUAAGGGGAAGCACUGUAAACAAUGCAACGGGAUGGGGAUUACAAGUUUUAAAUGACAAGAAGACAAUGAGCUUGACAACAGACGUAGACUUAGUCUAUACUGAAUAAAUCCUCGCUUGCUCGUGGAUUUACAGUGGAGGAUGGUGUAGAAAGUGAACAAUGUGAGGUCACUUUACCGAAGAUACACAUUAACCUUCUGAACCUCUUUCUUUAUUUACAGACAAGAUAAGUUUGGCCACUCAGAGAUGCCAUUUAAUAGCAUUUACAUGGUGCUCUACAUGCUCUAGGACCAAGCACCAAACCUGGGGCAGCAGGGCCUUCUCCAGAGACGCUCCAUCCCUCUGGAACAUUCGUGACUGCCCCAAUCUGUCUACGUUCAAGAGAGUGCGGCACAGGCUGCGUUGUCUAGCUGUCAACACUUUGCUCAGCCCAAAGCCCCAGGAUUACACAGGAGCUGAUGGCUGUCUGUCAGAAAGAGAGAAAACCUGAACGAAUCCAGCAGCCGGAGGAGGAAGAGAUUGUUGAGUACAUAUCGAAUUUCAGACUUUAACCACAGACCAGCAGGUAGAGUUAGCGUUUACUGUAUUUCCUUUGGACACAUUCAAGUUUUUCAGCUGUUUCAUUUCUUUUGUUUAUAAGGUGGUCACUAACCACUGCUGUUGGUCACUCUCUCUCUAUGGGACAAUUUCCUCACUAAAGCCCAGGUCCCCAGGAGACCAUGAAAACCACCUUCAUGUACAGGGUCCAGGUUACCUGCAAACCAUCAUCUCUGCAUCUUCUUAAAGCGUUCCACACAACUUCCUUUGAUUCCAAACCAUUUGCAUCAUCAAGCUUACACUCUCAAACCUAGAGGGAGGUGUGCUCUGGUGCACGAGACUGAUAUGAUGAUAUGAUAGACAUUCAAAAUUGUAAAAUGUAUAAUAACGUGAAUAGCUUCAGAAUGAUGGAUAUGGGGGCAGACAGUGUUCCAAAGACUGAUGUUUUGGCAACAACAUACCUUUUCCAUAGUUUAAAAGAGUUAAAGCAUUUCUCCAGAUGAAAUAAAGAAGUAUAUAUUAUAAGCCUCAAACCUAAAUGACCCUGUAUCACACACACAGAGCCCAACUUAUUAUACAUAUUACUGCACACUGUAUACAUGUGGUACUCACACUCAUACGCGCACAUUAUCACACCUAUAUGUCAAUGUACAGACAGUCAUAUACAACACAUGUACAUGUCUGUUUUAUCUGUUCUGUAGUUUUAAUCCUGAUUCUGUUUCAUCAACUCAGUUGUUUGGCUGUUUGAACAUGAAUUUAAAAACCUAACCAGGAAUGAAGGCUGCAAAUAUAUCACAUCUGUUGCAUUGCUUAUCUGUAUGUAAUAAUGUUCAUCUGUAUGGUGAGCAAAUCAGAAACAUUCAUCGGCUCCCAGAGCAAUAUAGAUCCAACUUCUAAAUUUGACUAAUAGUCAUUAAAGCAUUAAAUGGUUUAUUACAGUCCAGCCGGAGCUCUCGGAUCAUCAGUUGGCAGUUUUCUAACUGGACCUAGAAUAAGAUCCACAUCAGUCCUGCUUGUUGACCUGACACCAGUUACAUAUGUUUUGUUUUUAACAGUAAGUUGAAAGAUUUUCAGUUUUCUCAGGUUUGUGAUCAGUUACUCUGUGUGUCUGUCUGUGAAUGUUUGGUUUGUGGUGGAUGAUGGGUUUGUCAGCACAUUUUAGUGUUUUUCUCCUAUUUUCUGUUUUUUCUCUUACUAAUUUUAUGAGAAGUAACAGG
Long non-coding RNA from Thunnus maccoyii (southern bluefin tuna), 2487 nucleotides. RefSeq lists it as uncharacterized. The record is from RefSeq and is a predicted model, not a curated record. Lineage: Eukaryota; Metazoa; Chordata; Actinopteri; Scombriformes; Scombridae. The transcript has 3 exons.